Gossypium hirsutum (cotton) is the source of this 142-nucleotide non-coding RNA. The record is from Rfam. NCBI's taxonomy places the organism in Eukaryota, Viridiplantae, Streptophyta, Magnoliopsida, Malvales, Malvaceae.
CUUUAAAAAUUUUAUCUAUUUGCUGUUAAAAACAACAUGCUUGAUAGAAUAAUCAAACAAUGACAUGUGGUGUGCCAUGUGUACGUCAUAUUGAUGUACAAAGAUCAAAUUUUAACAGUAGAAAUGGAUAGAAUUUUUAAUC